This 137-nucleotide ribosomal RNA is filed under the name Quercus fusiformis. RNAcentral describes it as "partial 5.8S ribosomal RNA". It matches the Rfam family "5.8S ribosomal RNA", at positions 23 to 154 of the family's 154-position model. Rfam says of the family: 5.8S ribosomal RNA (5.8S rRNA) is a component of the large subunit of the eukaryotic ribosome. The record is from RNAcentral. Lineage: Eukaryota; Viridiplantae; Streptophyta; Magnoliopsida; Fagales; Fagaceae.
AGGCUCUCGCAUCGAUGAAGAACGUAGCGAAAUGCGAUACUUGGUGUGAAUUGCAGAAUCCCGCGAAUCAUCGAGUUUUUGAACGCAAGUUGCGCCCGAAGCCAUUCGGUCGAGGGCACGUCUGCUUGGGUGUCACG